RNAcentral lists this ribosomal RNA (253 nucleotides) under uncultured bacterium. Its description in RNAcentral is "partial 16S ribosomal RNA". It matches the Rfam family "Bacterial small subunit ribosomal RNA", at positions 524 to 776 of the family's 1533-position model. The record is from RNAcentral.
UCCGUAGGUGGCAAGCGUUGUCCGGAAUCAUUGGGCGUAAAGAGCGUGUAGGCGGUUCGGUAAGUCGGCUGUGAAAGUCCAGGGCUCAACCCUGGGAUGCCGGUCGAUACUGCCGGACUAGAGUUCGGAAGAGGCGAGUGGAAUUCCCGGUGUAGCGGUGAAAUGCGCAGAUAUCGGGAGGAACACCUAUGGCGAAGGCAGCUCGCUGGGACGUUACUGACGCUGAGACGCGAAAGCGUGGGGAGCAAACAGG